RNAcentral lists this ribosomal RNA (862 nucleotides) under marine metagenome. Its description in RNAcentral is "bacterial SSU rRNA". It matches the Rfam family "Bacterial small subunit ribosomal RNA", at positions 488 to 1348 of the family's 1533-position model. The record is from RNAcentral.
AAGCGCCGGCUAACUACGUGCCAGCAGCCGCGGUAAUACGUAGGGCGCAAGCGUUAUCCGGAAUUAUUGGGCGUAAAGAGCUCGUAGGCGGUCUGUCGCGUCUGCUGUGAAAACCCGAGGCUCAACCUCGGGCCUGCAGUGGGUACGGGCAGACUAGAGUGCGGUAGGGGAGAUUGGAAUUCCUGGUGUAGCGGUGGAAUGCGCAGAUAUCAGGAGGAACACCGAUGGCGAAGGCAGAUCUCUGGGCCGUUACUGACGCUGAGGAGCGAAAGGGUGGGGAGCAAACAGGCUUAGAUACCCUGGUAGUCCACCCCGUAAACGUUGGGAACUAGUUGUGGGGUCCAUUCCACGGAUUCCGUGACGCAGCUAACGCAUUAAGUUCCCCGCCUGGGGAGUACGGCCGCAAGGCUAAAACUCAAAGGAAUUGACGGGGACCCGCACAAGCGGCGGAGCAUGCGGAUUAAUUCGAUGCAACGCGAAGAACCUUACCAAGGCUUGACAUACACCAGAACGGGCCAGAAAUGGUCAACUCUUUGGACACUGGUGAACAGGUGGUGCAUGGUUGUCGUCAGCUCGUGUCGUGAGAUGUUGGGUUAAGUCCCGCAACGAGCGCAACCCUCGUUCUAUGUUGCCAGCACGUAAUGGUGGGAACUCAUGGGAUACUGCCGGGGUCAACUCGGAGGAAGGUGGGGAUGACGUCAAAUCAUCAUGCCCCUUAUGUCUUGGGCUUCACGCAUGCUACAAUGGCCGGUACAAAGGGCUGCAAUACCGCGAGGUGGAGCGAAUCCCAAAAAGCCGGUCCCAGUUCGGAUUGAGGUCUGCAACUCGACCUCAUGAAGUCGGAGUCGCUAGUAAUCGCAGA